CCCUUCGUCGAGCGGCGCAGCACAAAACAAAAGCCGAGGCAGGACAAGAGAGCGAACCCUCUCUAAACCCUAGAAACUUAGGCACCGCCCGCCGCCGCCGCUGCUCCCAGGACAGCAGCCAAGGAAGACGAAACCAAGCCUCCGCCAUGCCGAAAUCCAAGCGCAAUCGCUCAGUCACCCUGUCAAAGACCAAGAAGAAGCCGGGGCUAGAGCGGAAGGGCAAGGUGGUCACGGAGAUCAAAGACGCGAUUGAGCGCCACAGCAGCGCCUAUGUCUUCACCUACAACAACAUGAGGAACCAGAAGCUCAAGGACCUCAGGGACCAACUCAAGUCCUCUAGCCGGAUAUUCCUUGCUGGAAAGAAGGUCAUGCAGAUAGCAUUGGGGCGGUCACCUGCUGAUGAAGCUAAGACAGGCCUGCAUAAACUCUCCAAGUUCCUUCAAGGUGCUUCUGGAUUGUUAUUUACAAAUCUCCCAAGGGAUGAUGUCGAGAGAUUAUUCCGAGAAUUUGAGGCGAAUGAUUUUGCGAGGACAGGAAGUAUUGCGACUCAAACGGUUGAGCUAAAGGAAGGCCCUCUGGAACAGUUUUCACAUGAAAUGGAACCCUUUCUGCGCAAACAAGGACUGCCAGUUCGCCUAAACAAAGGUGUUGUUGAAUUGGUUGCAGAUCAUGUAGUAUGUGAAGAAGGAAAGCCCCUUUCACCAGAAGCAGCACACACUCUGCGCGUGCUUGGGACGAAGAUGGCGACGUUCCGACUGUACCUUGUCUGCCGCUGGUCGUCCGAUGACUUUGAAGUGUACAAGGAAGGCUUGGCGCACCUGGGAGGUGAGGAAGCUGACGAGUCUUCUUAAGGUUGUUGGAUUAUCAUGGUGGCGUGCUUGUUGUCUAGCUGUGUUCAGACGGUUUUGUGCCAUGCCUUUGUACCCUUAAUUCGACAGGAAUCUCAAAUAUAUGAUCUGACCCAGUUGGGCAUAUUGUUGAGUGCCAGUAUUUUUGCGAGCUACUAUUAUAGUGGUUCGGCUCAAGGCUGCUGGUGGAUCCGUCCCUCUGAUGUUUGUGUUGCAGUCGCGGUGGUCUAGUCGAGUUGGGUCCUGUUGUUAUGCAACCAUGUUAGCAACAACCAUGUUUCAAGUUUUGCAGUGGACAGUUCUCGCUUCAAUGCCUUGUGUUGUAUCUUUUGCUCUAGUCUAGGUUGGGUUCGGUGUUUUCCUUCUCGUGGAUCUUAGAAAAGGCACCCAAAGGGCAUUGUUAUUUCUGAUUAUUAUGAAUACAAUCGAAGG
Molecule: ribosomal RNA, 1280 nt
Filed under: Triticum aestivum (bread wheat)
Lineage: Eukaryota; Viridiplantae; Streptophyta; Magnoliopsida; Poales; Poaceae
Description: partial small subunit ribosomal RNA
Source: RNAcentral